This 108-nucleotide ribosomal RNA is filed under the name uncultured bacterium. Its description in RNAcentral is "partial 16S ribosomal RNA". It matches the Rfam family "Bacterial small subunit ribosomal RNA", at positions 1367 to 1482 of the family's 1533-position model. The record is from RNAcentral.
UACGUUCCCGGACCUUGUACACACCGCCCGUCAAGCCAUGGAAGUCGGGGAGACCUGAAGCAGGUGAGCUCAAAGCAGCCUGUAAGGGUAAAACCGGUAACUGGGGCU